RNAcentral lists this ribosomal RNA (520 nucleotides) under uncultured bacterium. Its description in RNAcentral is "bacterial SSU rRNA". It matches the Rfam family "Bacterial small subunit ribosomal RNA", at positions 777 to 1297 of the family's 1533-position model. The record is from RNAcentral.
AAUAGAUACCCGGGUAGUCCACGCCGUAAACGAUGAGUGCUAAGUGUUAGAGGGUUUCCGCCCUUUAGUGCUGAAGUUAACGCAUUAAGCACUCCGCCUGGGGAGUACGGCCGCAAGGCUGAAACUCAAAGGAAUUGACGGGGGCCCGCACAAGCGGUGGAGCAUGUGGUUUAAUUCGAAGCAACGCGAAGAACCUUACCAGGUCUUGACAUCCUCUGACAACCCUAGAGAUAGGGCUUCUCCUUCGGGAGCAGAGUGACAGGUGGUGCAUGGUUGUCGUCAGCUCGUGUCGUGAGAUGUUGGGUUAAGUCCCGCAACGAGCGCAACCCUUGAUCUUAGUUGCCAUCAUUAAGUUGGGCACUCUAAGGUGACUGCCGGUGACAAACCGGAGGAAGGUGGGGAUGACGUCAAAUCAUCAUGCCCCUUAUGACCUGGGCUACACACGUGCUACAAUGGACGGUACAAAGAGCUGCAAGACCGCGAGGUGGAGCUAAUCUCAUAAAACCGUUCUCAGUUCGGA